GACGAACGCUGGCGGCGUGCUUAACACAUGCAAGUCGAACGGAAAGGCCCUGCUUUUGUGGGGUGCUCGAGUGGCGAACGGGUGAGUAACACGUGAGUAACCUGUCCUUGACUUUGGGAUAACUUCAGGAAACUGGGGCUAAUACCGGAUAGGAGCUCCUGCUGCAUGGUGGGGGUUGGAAAGUUUCGGCGGUUGGGGAUGGACUCGCGGCUUAUCAGCUUGUUGUUGGGGUAGUGGCUUACCAAGGCUUUGACGGGUAGCCGGCCUGAGAGGGUGACCGGCCACAUUGGGACUGAGAUACGGCCCAGACUCCUACGGGAGGCAGCAGUGGGGAAUAUUGCACAAUGGGCGGAAGCCUGAUGCAGCAACGCCGCGUGCGGGAUGACGGCCUUCGGGUUGUAAACCGCUUUCGCCUGUGACGAAGCGUGAGUGACGGUAAUGGGUAAAGAAGCACCGGCUAACUACGUG
This 468-nucleotide ribosomal RNA is filed under the name uncultured bacterium. RNAcentral describes it as "partial 16S ribosomal RNA". It matches the Rfam family "Bacterial small subunit ribosomal RNA", at positions 28 to 507 of the family's 1533-position model. The record is from RNAcentral.